RNAcentral lists this ribosomal RNA (253 nucleotides) under uncultured bacterium. RNAcentral describes it as "partial 16S ribosomal RNA". It matches the Rfam family "Bacterial small subunit ribosomal RNA", at positions 524 to 776 of the family's 1533-position model. The record is from RNAcentral.
UACGUAGGGGGCAAGCGUUGUCCGGAAUCAUUGGGCGUAAAGAGCGUGUAGGCGGUCCGGUAAGUCGGCUGUGAAAGUCCAGGGCUCAACCCUGGGGUGCCGGUCGAUACUGCCGGACUAGAGUUCGGAAGAGGCGGGUGGAAUUCCCGGUGUAGCGGUGAAAUGCGCAGAUAUCGGGAGGAACACCUAUGGCGAAGGCAGCUCGCUGGGACGUUACUGACGCUGAGACGCGAAAGCGUGGGGAGCAAACAGG